RNAcentral lists this ribosomal RNA (917 nucleotides) under uncultured beta proteobacterium. RNAcentral describes it as "bacterial SSU rRNA". It matches the Rfam family "Bacterial small subunit ribosomal RNA", at positions 8 to 916 of the family's 1533-position model. Lineage: Bacteria; Pseudomonadati; Pseudomonadota; Betaproteobacteria. The record is from RNAcentral.
AGAGUUUGAUCCUGGCUCAGAUUGAACGCUGGCGGCAUGCUUUACACAUGCAAGUCGAACGGCAGCACGGAGAGCUUGCUCUCUGGUGGCGAGUGGCGAACGGGUGAGUAAUGCAUCGGAACGUACCGAGUAAUGGGGGAUAACUGUCCGAAAGGAUGGCUAAUACCGCAUACGCCCUGAGGGGGAAAGCGGGGGAUCUUAGGACCUCGCGUUAUUUGAGCGGCCGAUGUUGGAUUAGCUAGUUGGUGGGGUAAAGGCCUACCAAGGCGACGAUCCAUAGCGGGUCUGAGAGGAUGAUCCGCCACAUUGGGACUGAGACACGGCCCAAACUCCUACGGGAGGCAGCAGUGGGGAAUUUUGGACAAUGGGGGGAACCCUGAUCCAGCCAUGCCGCGUGUCUGAAGAAGGCCUUCGGGUUGUAAAGGACUUUUGUUAGGGAAGAAAAGCCGGGUGCUAAUACCACCUGGUGCUGACGGUACCUAAAGAAUAAGCACCGGCUAACUACGUGCCAGCAGCCGCGGUAAUACGUAGGGUGCGAGCGUUAAUCGGAAUUACUGGGCGUAAAGCGAGCGCAGACGGUUAGAUAAGUCAGAUGUGAAAUCCCCGAGCUCAACUUGGGACGUGCAUUUGAAACUGUCUAACUAGAGUGUGUCAGAGGGAGGUAGAAUUCCACGUGUAGCAGUGAAAUGCGUAGAGAUGUGGAGGAAUACCGAUGGCGAAGGCAGCCUCCUGGGAUAACACUGACGUUCAUGCUCGAAAGCGUGGGUAGCAAACAGGAUUAGAUACCCUGGUAGUCCACGCCCUAAACGAUGACAAUUAGCUGUUGGGGCACUAGAUGUCUUAGUAGCGAAGCUAACGCGAGAAAUUGUCCGCCUGGGGAGUACGGUCGCAAGAUUAAAACUCAAAGGAAUUGACGG